This is a non-coding RNA of Purpureocillium lavendulum, 94 nucleotides long. NCBI's taxonomy places the organism in Eukaryota, Fungi, Ascomycota, Sordariomycetes, Hypocreales, Ophiocordycipitaceae. The record is from the annotation of a GenBank genome assembly.
GGUCGUGUGGCCUAAUGGCUAAGGCGCUAGAUUUCGGUCCUCACUCGCACACCGAGCUCUCUAGAGAUUCUAGGUUCGACUCCUAGCACGAUCG